RNAcentral lists this ribosomal RNA (496 nucleotides) under uncultured bacterium. Its description in RNAcentral is "bacterial SSU rRNA". It matches the Rfam family "Bacterial small subunit ribosomal RNA", at positions 31 to 518 of the family's 1533-position model. The record is from RNAcentral.
GAACGCUGCGGCAGGCCUAACACAUGCAAGUCGAACGGUAACAGGAAGCAGCUUGCUGCCUCGCUGACGAGUGGCGGACGGGUGAGUAAUGUCUGGGAAACUGCCUGAUGAGGGGGAUAACUACUGGAAACGGUAGCUAAUACCGCAUAACGUCGCAAGACCAAAGAGGGGGACCUUCGGGCCUCUUGCCAUCAGAUGUGCCCAGAUGGGAUUAGCUUGUUGGUGGGGUAACGGCUCACCAAGGCGACGAUCCCUAGCUGGUCUGAGAGGAUGACCAGCCACACUGGAACUGAGACACGGUCCAGACUCCUACGGGAGGCAGCAGUGGGGAAUAUUGCACAAUGGGCGCAAGCCUGAUGCAGCCAUGCCGCGUGUAUGAAGAAGGCCUUCGGGUUGUAAAGUACUUUCAGCGGGGAGGAAGGUGUUGUGGUUAAUAACCGCAGCAAUUGACGUUACCCGCAGAAGAAGCACCGGCUAACUCCGUGCCAGCCGCCGC